RNAcentral lists this long non-coding RNA (2183 nucleotides) under Podarcis lilfordi (Lilford's wall lizard). The record is from RNAcentral. Lineage: Eukaryota; Metazoa; Chordata; Lepidosauria; Squamata; Lacertidae.
UAGUAUUUGCAGGAAGCUAUGGCAUUAAACAGUUUUGAAAUAAUUUAAAACUGUGUGGGUUUAUCUACGCUGUGGAUGUUAAUUGACUUCACAGUCACAUCCUUUCCCACAGCAAACUCCAGGAGUCUGUGGGCAGGGCUAGGACUGUCUAGAGAUUUCUUACCACUCUUACCAAAAUAAAACCUCCGGGAUUCUUUGUGGGAAUCCAGGGGAAUUAAAAAGGACCUGAAAAGAUACAGAAUCGCACUAUGUUCUUCUUUUAAAGGUCAGUUACACAAGUAGACUGUGUGGGGGUGGGGGUGGGGCAGAAGGAAGAGGGAACCAUGGCAUCAGAGGCAGUGUCAGGCUGGAAGGUGGGGGGGGGGGAACCUGAGCAAGAUGCUUUCCAGGGGGUCUCCCACGCUCACCCUCUCUCCCUGCCUCACCAUGAUGUGCUCUCUUCCCUGGCCUCUUCCUUCCUGCCACCUGAGAGAGGGAGAAAGUGAACAAGUCCCUCCCACUAUCUGGUAAGUGGGCAGGGGGAGGCAAAAGGCUCACGUUUCCCCCCCUUUCUUACCAGAAAGAAAAGAACAAGGGUCUCCUUCCCUUCCCUUCCCUUCCCUUCCCUUCCCUUCCCUUCCCUUCCAUCCCAUCCUCUAGCUAACUAGGCAAUCUGCAGGAAGGAAUUCAACAUUGCACCCUUCUGAUCAUUCCGGCAGCACAAGCAUUUAUUUCUUCUUGCCAGACAGAACGAUUCCCACUUUCCUCCCUCAACUUGCUAUUCUGAGGGUUCUCCAGAUCUUGUUUUUGGAAGACACAGGGGACGGGAUGUAAGGAGCAGCAGCAAAGCCCUGUUGUGUUACCAAGAGCCCUUGUUCUGGCUUCUGUUGGCGCACCAGGUUAGUUGAAGUUGCUUCAAAACUUUUCCCCCAAAGAUUUUUGGGCACCAGCACAUGCAACUAUCUGCAAAACGUUAAAGAAAGCAACAAAGAUCGGUUCCUUCCUGCUCAUGCACCUCCCAAUUGGUCCCGCAAUUUUCUUUCAAAAUAAAAGUGGCCAAGUUAACCCCAUGGGAUUCUACCAGCUGAAAAUCUGGGUAUAUUCUGGGCUUGUUUCUGACUAAAUUGAGCUAAUUCCCCUUCUCAUGGAUAUAGUCGUACCUUGGAAGUCGAAUGGAAUCCAUUCCGGAAGUCCAUUUGACUUCCAAAAUGUUUGGAAAUCAAAGCCGCAGAAGUGGCGCCGGACGUUCAGCUUCCAAAAAUCAUUCGAAAACCGGAACACUCACUUCCAGGUUUUGAUUGUUCAGGAGCCGAUUUGUUCAGGAGCCAAGGCAUUCAAGAUCCAAGGUACAAUUGUAUUGAGCAGGAGAAGACAAAGGAGGUGCCUGUUUUUAGCAGCAGGAAGAGCAGUAUGGCAUGCUGGGGUGUGUGCAUGCAUGUGUGUAGGGAAGGGAGUUGUGUUCCCACCGUAGCCUUCCUGUCCCUCACCUCCUGCCUCCGUGUGAGGUAGGUAGUCCUCAUGCAGACUCCUCUUUCCACGUGCAGAUUCACUCUUGCUGGACUUUGAGCCAACUCGUUUAGGCUUGAGCUGAAGUUUUAUAUGUGUUGGCAUGAUCUUGGCUACUGAAUCAAACCUGUGGUUGUUGGAUUGUUGGAAGUGGGCAUCUGAAGAGCAGUUAACUGGGGUUAAGGGUAAGGGUUGUACAUGCUACAUUGUGUGUGAUAAAUAAUGGGACUGAUGGGGGCAGUAAGUGGAAUUACAAUAUUCAAUGGGCCAGAAGAUUUUGGGGGGCGGGGGGCGGUUUCCAGGUAGGAAUUGGAAGCAUGCAAAUGUUUAAGGUUUUAACUAUUUGUUUUUAUUAUUAAUCCCAAAGGACCAGGACCAUUGGUUUUCUGUCAAAAAGAAAAUGUGUUCCUUAUAACCUUCUGCAUUUUAUGGUCUUCUCAUCUGCAUUCCAAAGGUAGCUGUCUUAGAGUCCUGAGACUGAGGCGUAAUAUUUCUCCAUGACAAUGAAACUACGUUCUUGGAAUGUUUCUGUGUCUUCUCAUUUCUGAUGCUGUGACCAAGAUUUUAGUUUGGGACAUUACACACCAAGACCACCGUGUUACCUACCAUGCAAGCAAACAUGGAUGCAUCUUUUGUAUAAAGCUUCAAAAAGAUUAGACAUCUUUUGAUUAAUUAAAAAGGAGUGCCUGAUUAACUGG